Molecule: long non-coding RNA, 216 nt
Organism: Sinocyclocheilus rhinocerous
Lineage: Eukaryota; Metazoa; Chordata; Actinopteri; Cypriniformes; Cyprinidae
Exons: 3
Source: RefSeq, a predicted model, not a curated record
CCUCUGGAGUGUUAAUUGAGCUGGCUGUGCGUCCUGGAAGUGGUAUUUUCCCUUUCAUUAUGCUCCGUUUGCCUCCGACUUCAAAGACAUCAAGGGCAUGUUCAACGAUUUCGAGAAAGGGACCAAACCGUUCAAACCUCUGGAGCAGCUCAUGGGUGUGUUUCCUGCUGCCAGUGGAAACUUUCUGCCACAAAUAUGGAGAGCCCUGAUGACCGA